AGAUCCGGGCGCGGAUGGGCAUGCGUCUGAUUAGCUGGUUUGGCGGGGCAACGGCCCACCAAGGCAACGAUCAGUAGGGGUUCUGAGAGGAAGGUCCCCCACAUUGGUACUGAGACACGGACCAAACUCCUACGGGAGGCAGCAGUGAGGAAUAUUGGUCAAUGGGCGGAAGCCUGAACCAGCCAAGUCGCGUGAGGGAUGACGGUCCUACGGAUUGUAAACCUCUUUUGUCGGGGAGUAACGUGCGGGACGGGUCCCGUAUUGAGAGUACCCGAAGAAAAAGCAUCGGCUAACUCCGUG
RNAcentral lists this ribosomal RNA (300 nucleotides) under uncultured bacterium. RNAcentral describes it as "bacterial SSU rRNA". It matches the Rfam family "Bacterial small subunit ribosomal RNA", at positions 211 to 507 of the family's 1533-position model. The record is from RNAcentral.